Molecule: non-coding RNA, 21 nt
Filed under: Caenorhabditis elegans
Lineage: Eukaryota; Metazoa; Nematoda; Chromadorea; Rhabditida; Rhabditidae
Source: RNAcentral
UGGUUUUGCUAUAUUACUACA